UCUACAGUGCAUGUGUCUCCAGCGUCUGUAAGCAGCUGGAGAUACGGCCCUGUUGGAAU
Molecule: microRNA precursor, 59 nt
Filed under: Python bivittatus (Burmese python)
Lineage: Eukaryota; Metazoa; Chordata; Lepidosauria; Squamata; Pythonidae
Description: Pbv-Mir-139_pre stem-loop
Rfam family: mir-139 microRNA precursor family
Source: RNAcentral